Molecule: ribosomal RNA, 813 nt
Filed under: uncultured Campylobacter sp.
Lineage: Bacteria; Pseudomonadati; Campylobacterota; Epsilonproteobacteria; Campylobacterales; Campylobacteraceae
Description: bacterial SSU rRNA
Rfam family: Bacterial small subunit ribosomal RNA
Source: RNAcentral
AGGCGGAUUAUCAAGUCUCUUGUGAAAUCUAAUGGCUUAACCAUUAAACUGCUUGGGAAACUGAUAGUCUAGAGUGAGGGAGAGGCAGAUGGAAUUGGUGGUGUAGGGGUAAAAUCCGUAGAUAUCACCAAGAAUACCCAUUGCGAAGGCGAUCUGCUGGAACUCAACUGACGCUAAGGCGCGAAAGCGUGGGGAGCAAACAGGAUUAGAUACCCUGGUAGUCCACGCCCUAAACGAUGUACACUAGUUGUUGGGGUGCUAGUCAUCUCAGUAAUGCAGCUAACGCAUUAAGUGUACCGCCUGGGGAGUACGGUCGCAAGAUUAAAACUCAAAGGAAUAGACGGGGACCCGCACAAGCGGUGGAGCAUGUGGUUUAAUUCGAAGAUACGCGAAGAACCUUACCUGGGCUUGAUAUCCUAAGAACCUUUUAGAGAUAAGAGGGUGCUAGCUUGCUAGAACUUAGAGACAGGUGCUGCACGGCUGUCGUCAGCUCGUGUCGUGAGAUGUUGGGUUAAGUCCCGCAACGAGCGCAACCCACGUAUUUAGUUGCUAACGGUUCGGCCGAGCACUCUAAAUAGACUGCCUUCGUAAGGAGGAGGAAGGUGUGGACGACGUCAAGUCAUCAUGGCCCUUAUGCCCAGGGCGACACACGUGCUACAAUGGCAUAUACAAUGAGACGCAAUACCGCGAGGUGGAGCAAAUCUAUAAAAUAUGUCCCAGUUCGGAUUGUUCUCUGCAACUCGAGAGCAUGAAGCCGGAAUCGCUAGUAAUCGUAGAUCAGCCAUGCUACGGUGAAUACGUUCCCGGGUCUUG